Molecule: ribosomal RNA, 253 nt
Filed under: uncultured bacterium
Lineage: Bacteria
Description: partial 16S ribosomal RNA
Rfam family: Bacterial small subunit ribosomal RNA
Source: RNAcentral
UACGUAGGGCGCGAGCGUUGUCCGGAAUUAUUGGGCGUAAAGAGCUCGUAGGCGGUCUGUCGCGUCUGCUGUGAAAACUCAGGGCUUAACCCUGAGCUUGCAGUGGGUACGGGCAGACUAGAGUGCGGUAGGGGAGACUGGAAUUCCUGGUGUAGCGGUGAAAUGCGCAGAUAUCAGGAGGAACACCGGUGGCGAAGGCGGGUCUCUGGGCCGUAACUGACGCUGAGGAGCGAAAGCAUGGGGAGCGAACAGG